RNAcentral lists this ribosomal RNA (373 nucleotides) under uncultured bacterium. RNAcentral describes it as "bacterial SSU rRNA". It matches the Rfam family "Bacterial small subunit ribosomal RNA", at positions 525 to 896 of the family's 1533-position model. The record is from RNAcentral.
ACGGGGGGGACGAGCGUUGUUCGGAUUUACUGGGCGUAAAGGGCGUGUAGGCGGACUUUCAAGUCGGAAGUGAAAACCGGAGGCUUAACCUCAGGCUUGCUUACGAUACUGUUGGUCUUGAGUACAGAAGAGGAAAGCGGAAUUCCAGGUGUAGCGGUGAAAUGCGUAGAUAUCUGGAAGAACACCAGUAGCGAAGGCGGCUUUCUGGUCUGAUACUGACGCUAAAGCGCGAAGGCUAGGGGAGCAAACAGGAUUAGAUACCCUGGUAGUCCUAGCGGUAAACUAUGGGUACUAGGUGUCGGGGGUAUCGACCCCCUCGGUGCCGAAGUUAACACAUUAAGUACCCCGCCUGGGGAGUACGACCGCAAGGUUG